Molecule: ribosomal RNA, 506 nt
Filed under: uncultured bacterium
Lineage: Bacteria
Description: partial 16S ribosomal RNA
Rfam family: Bacterial small subunit ribosomal RNA
Source: RNAcentral
GAUGAACGCUAGCGGCAGGCUUAAUACAUGCAAGUCGUGGGGCAGCAGGUCUGUAGCAAUACAGAUGCUGGCGACCGGCAAACGGGUGCGGAACACGUACACAACUUUCCUUUAAGUGGGGAAUAGCCCAGAGAAAUUUGGAUUAAUACCCCGUAACAUAGUGAAAAGGCAUCUUUUUAUUAUUAUAGCAGCAAUGCGCUUAAUGAUGGGUGUGCGUCUGAUUAGGUAGUUGGCGGAGUAAUAGCCCACGAAGCCUACGAUCAGUAACUGGUGUGAGAGCACGACCAGUCACACGGGCACUGAGACACGGGCCCGACGCCUACGGGAGGCAGCAGUAAGGAAUAUUGGGCAAUGGACGCAAGUCUGACCCAGCCAUGCCGCGUGGAGGAUGAAGGUCCUCUGGAUUGUAAACUUCUUUUAUCUGGGAAGAAAUCCAUCUUUUCUUGGGUGGUUGACGGUACCAGAUGAAUAAGCACCGGCUAACUCCGUGCCAGCCGCCGCAGUAA